UUUUUAGGGGCACACCUGCAGCAUUUGGAAGUUCCCAGGCUAGGGGUCGAAUUGGAGUUGUAGCUCCACCAAUGCCUACAGCACAGCCACAGCAAUGCGGGAUCCAAGCCACGUCUGCGACCUACACCACAGCUCAUGAUAAUGCCAGAUACCUAAUCCACUGAUCAAGGCCAGGGAUUGAAAUUGCAUCCUCAUGGAUACUAGUCGGGUUCAUUACCACUGAGGCACAGUGGGAACUCCGUAUAUAUCUACAACAAUUAAAGUCCAGAUUCCUAAUGCCUAGUCCAGCAGCAGACUUUCCAUCAUAUCAUGGCUUCAGACUUGCCCUACUUAGAUAAAGGCCCUGCAUAUUCAAGAGUCCAGGUAAUGUAAGUUAAUGUUAUGUGGUAUAAUUGACACGUAAUGUAAAUAAGCCAUGAGUAGCUGGCAAACAAUAGGGAAUGAUGGAGACUAUAUCAAAAGGAGACUGUAUAUCCUGAGGAGGGAGCCACUACUUAGUUCCAGGGUGUUCUUGCUAUGUUGAAAUGUGGACCCAGUUGUUUUUGUUUUUGGUUUUUUUUUGUCUUUCUGCCAUUUCUUGGGCCGCUCCCUCAGCAUAUGGAGGUUCCCAGGCUAGGGGUCCAAUCAGAGCUGUAGCCGCUGGCCUACACCAGAGCCACAGCAACGCGAGAUCCAAUCCGUGUCUGUGAUCAUGGCAACGCCGGAUCCUUAACCCACUAAGCAAGGCCAGGGAUGGAAUCUGCAUCCUCAUGGAUGCUAGUUGGGUUUGUUAAUCACUGAGCCACAAUGGGAACUCCUAGGCAUGUAUUUUUAUUUAAAUAAUACUUUUAGUUGCCUUUAGGGUAUUUCAAAGAUCAUGGUUGUUUUUUGUUUGUUUGCUGUUUUCCCCUAAAUGAAGCAGUAUCUCAUUUCAGGCCACUUGGCUUCUUUCUAAGCAAUCUCAACCUCCAAAUCUCUUCCCAAUAUACAUAUGCAAUUUUCAUUCUGUUCACAAAUGAAACCCUAACCUAAAUACUUCAAAAGUAAUCUCAGGGGAAAAAUACUGUUCAAAAACCUAGAUAAUGCAUUCCUUUCGUUGAUGCCAAAUAUAGUCAUCUCAAGAUGACAUACAUUUUGACAAUGAUCAGUCUUACACAUCAAAUUUUCAAAAAUAGCAAAGAUUCCAUUUUAAGGUGAAGAGGAAAAAUCGCUCACUUCACUACAUUUCAGCUUAAAAUGGAUGUUAAAAUGGGACUCUUCUAUGAAAAACUGAGUUACAUCAAUCAAUACUGUAUCAAGGGAAACUGGAUUUGAAAGAAUUUUGUUGUGGUUUUUGCUGAGGGCUCUUUAAGGGGGUCAUUGCAGAUAAAAUACAAAAUUGCCCACAUUUUUCCUGAAGUUAUUCCGGUCAAAAUGGAAAUUAUCUUCAAAAAUGGGGGGCUAAUAGCUAUGAGAAAGCAGCUUAAUUACAUUAAAUAAUCAAAGUUCAUUUAUCCUCAAUAUACACCUCCUCAAAAAAAAAACCUUGUCCCUCAGUUUAUUAUGUAUUUUUCCACCCUACUGCACCUCAAAACUCAAAAGAAUUUAUGAGACUUAGAGGUAUUCUGAGUUUUCUUAUGGCAGCAAUUUAACCUGUAAAAGGAUUAGGGGGAAAAUAAUGUGGUUCACGCAACAUGGGUGACUAAGAUGGUAUAAAUACUUAAGUUUAUUUAAUCAUAGUAUCCAGCACAUAGUUAUGCUGUGACUCCGAGGCCAAUAGGCCCACACAUGAAUUCAUUAACAAAAUUUAGCUGAUGAAUGAUGCUCUCGCUGCUUUGCUCAUGGAACAAAUUUCUUUCUUAUGGCUUAUUUCCUUUCUCUACCUGCCUCUUUCCCAAGGACAGACAUUUUGUUAGGACACAUCCUUGUGCUAUUUUUAUCUUGUUCCUUCUAUCCUUCCCCUCCUGUCCCUCUCUCCUCCCCCCAUACCCCUUUUCCAACUCCCUUUGUUCACUUUAUGGACCUUAAAUAAAUGAUAGGAAGAUCUUGAAGCCACUGCCACAAUCAACUAACCUCUCCACUUGAUUAUUUUCUUUCCAAACGCCAUUAAUAAAGUUUUAGCAUCUGUAGAGCAUUUCAUAGUUUACAAACACAGUUGGAAUGGCUCGGCGUUUUCAAACAGCAUCUAGACAGGGAGGUCUCCAGAGGUGACUACACGAUCCACUCCAAGCUCCAGCUCCAGUUGCACUACACCCAACAUCCGACCUCAGACAGAAUCGCCAAACACUUGUUUGGAAGGAGGGGGCAGAUGAUGGGCUGUUAAAUUACCUUUCACUCCCCAGCCUCCACAGGGACCGAUCAGGGAUGAUUUCUCCUAAAAACUACAGGCACUGCGGGCGAGAGACCGAUACCACGCCGGGGGCACGUGGUGGGACGAAACGGCACUUUCCCUGCUCGGACCCCAGGGACAGAGCGAGGGGACCGGCACCCGCUCCGCUGCAGGAGGGCUCAAUCCCCGCAGGACUGAGAAAGCUCCCGAAACUCCUCGGCCGGGGCGCGAGCCAAGCUGAAGCCGCGGAGCCGAGCAAGGAAAUCGCGGCCAGGAGCCCGAGGCCGGUGACCGCGGAGCGACAGCCAGGCCGACCUCGGUCCGCCCUCUGCCGAGCCCCCGGGACGCGGCUCCUGGGACCGGAUCGCUCGCGCCGGGGACCAGUGCCUCGCCACAGCUGGAUGGAGCCCGGCCAGCAGCCGGGGCGAGUGUCCCCGCAGCCCCCGCCCGCCACCCGGGGGAGCCGACGACUCGGUCUCGGCCGCCCCCGCCCCACGGCCCCCCGACUCGUCUCACCCGCCUCAAGCCGAGAACACGCCAAGGUCCGGGAUGCGCUCGGGGAAGCUGUGCGCGUCAGGCGCCGGGGGGUGGGUAGGGGUCCGGGCGCUCCGGACGC
Molecule: long non-coding RNA, 2903 nt
Filed under: Sus scrofa (pig)
Lineage: Eukaryota; Metazoa; Chordata; Mammalia; Artiodactyla; Suidae
Description: lncRNA (ENSSSCG00030016984.1)
Source: RNAcentral